Molecule: long non-coding RNA, 306 nt
Filed under: Ananas comosus (pineapple)
Lineage: Eukaryota; Viridiplantae; Streptophyta; Magnoliopsida; Poales; Bromeliaceae
Description: long non-coding RNA (ACOM_LNC032545)
Source: RNAcentral
AAAUGCGCCAAGUCCGUUUUUGCAUCCAUUUUGUGCAAAAACGACUCCAAUUCAGUCCGACAUUCUCUAGAUGUGUCGACCAAUCGCUAAAACUGUAGCCAAUCCGAUACCAAAACCCCCGGGACACUACAUGAAACAUGACCUUAUAAAACUCCAAAAUAUUAUAGAUGCCCCUUCAUAAUUUAAAAUAUCAUCAAAUACUCUUUUCAACAUAUAAAUUUAUCAUAAAUACCCCUCUAAAUAUAUAAGUUUAUACAAAUACCACUAUACACCCUAAAUUGUUAGCCUAAACCAUAAACCCUUUUA